AACGAACGCUGGCGGCGUGCCUAACACAUGCAAGUCGAACGAGAAAGGGGCUUCGGCUCCGAGUAAAGUGGCGCACGGGUGAGUAACACGUGGGUAACCUGCCUCUAAGAUUGGGAUAACUCGUCGAAAGAUGAGCUAAUACCGAAUAAGACCACAGUUCCCGCGGGAACAGGGGUCAAAGGUAGCCUCUGCUUGCAAGCUAUCACUUAGAGAUGGGCCUGCGCACCAUUAGCUAGUUGGUAGGGUAACGGCCUACCAAGGCAAAGAUGGUUAGCUGGUCUGAGAGGAUGAUAAGCCACACUGGAACUGAGACACGGUCCAGACUCCUACGGGAGGCAGCAGUGGGGAAUAUUGCGCAAUGGGCGAAAGCUUGACGCAGCAACGCCGCGUGAGUGAUGAAGGCCUUCGGGUCGUAAAGCUCUGUCGGGAGGAACGAAUGCUCCUGAGGUUAACAGCCUCGGGAGGUGACGGUACCUUCAAAGGAAGCACCGGCUAACUCUGUG
This 503-nucleotide ribosomal RNA is filed under the name uncultured bacterium. RNAcentral describes it as "partial 16S ribosomal RNA". It matches the Rfam family "Bacterial small subunit ribosomal RNA", at positions 29 to 507 of the family's 1533-position model. The record is from RNAcentral.